This 253-nucleotide unclassified non-coding RNA is filed under the name Hevea brasiliensis (rubber tree). Lineage: Eukaryota; Viridiplantae; Streptophyta; Magnoliopsida; Malpighiales; Euphorbiaceae. The record is from RNAcentral.
AAAAACAUGAUAAAAGGACUAAAAAUAGAAAAUCCCAGGUAGAAGAAUCCAAAACUCUGAUUUCUGGAGCUCCCAAAGACGGUUGCAGCAGCUCCUCCCUCAGAAAAAUAGCGUCCUCCUCCUCUCUAUUUAUAAUUUUUUCUUUUCUUUUUUUUCUUCCCGUUUCCUCUUGUGGCAAAAGAUAGAAAAUGAUACUUUUAUAUGGUCCCAAAGGUUGCCCUAAAAAUAGAUAAGAGCCAAGGAGUGGAUAGGA